This 471-nucleotide ribosomal RNA is filed under the name Kocuria palustris. Its description in RNAcentral is "bacterial SSU rRNA". It matches the Rfam family "Bacterial small subunit ribosomal RNA", at positions 1 to 483 of the family's 1533-position model. The record is from RNAcentral. Lineage: Bacteria; Bacillati; Actinomycetota; Actinomycetes; Micrococcales; Micrococcaceae.
UUUUAGAGUUUGAUCCCUGGCUCAGGACGAACGCUGGCGGCGUGCUUAACACAUGCAAGUCGAACGCUGAAGCACCAGCUUGCUGGUGUGGAUGAGUGGCGAACGGGUGAGUAAUACGUGAGUAACCUGCCCUUGACUCUGGGAUAAGCCCGGGAAACUGGGUCUAAUACUGGAUGCUACAUGUCACCGCAUGGUGGUGUGUGGAAAGGGUUUACUGGUCUUGGAUGGGCUCACGGCCUAUCAGCUUGUUGGUGAGGUAAUGGCUCACCAAGGCGACGACGGGUAGCCGGCCUGAGAGGGUGACCGGCCACACUGGGACUGAGACACGGCCCAGACUCCUACGGGAGGCAGCAGUGGGGAAUAUUGCACAAUGGGCGAAAGCCUGAUGCAGCGACGCCGCGUGAGGGAUGACGGCCUUCGGGUUGUAAACCUCUUUCAGCAGGGAAGAAGCCACAAGUGACGGUACCUGCA